GCCAUCUUGAUACUCCCAAAACAACCGUGCCGACCUGUGUUAAUCACAAGUUUUGUGGCUGUGAGAAUACAUUCCACAGCUUGCUGUUGCCCAGGAACUCUCCAAUCAUCUGCCUGCUGAGGCCUUUCCUCUGGAGGAGGAAGUGCGCCACGCCGAUGGCCGUGUCGGGUACGAAGCCGCGCGUGAUCAGGAAGUGGAUUCCUUUUUCCGGGUUCCUGCCGGCACAAGGGAGCAGCGACAACACUUUAAAGCGUGGACUGCAAAAACACGGGGAGAUCUCGUACUCGCUGGGCCCCUCCCGCUUGGCCGCGGUGCCCUCCACGUCCGGUCUGCCCGAGGACGAGCCGUCCUCCAGGCUCAGGAAC
Molecule: long non-coding RNA, 365 nt
Organism: Syngnathoides biaculeatus (alligator pipefish)
Lineage: Eukaryota; Metazoa; Chordata; Actinopteri; Syngnathiformes; Syngnathidae
Exons: 3
Source: RefSeq, a predicted model, not a curated record